RNAcentral lists this microRNA precursor (197 nucleotides) under Oryza glumipatula. RNAcentral describes it as "MIR812 microRNA precursor family". It matches the Rfam family "MIR812 microRNA precursor family". Lineage: Eukaryota; Viridiplantae; Streptophyta; Magnoliopsida; Poales; Poaceae. The record is from Rfam by way of RNAcentral.
AAUAAGUGCAGCCGUGGAUAUCCGUGCCCAACAUUUGACCGUCCGUCUUAUUUGAAAAAUUUGAAAAUAUUUAGUCACACAUAAAGUACUAUUUAUGUUUUAUCAUCUAAUAGCAAUAAAAAUAUUAAUCAUAAAAAAAUUUCAAAUAAGACGAACGGUCAAACGUUGAACGUGAAUAGUACAAAACUGCAUUUAUU